Molecule: non-coding RNA, 682 nt
Organism: Labrus bergylta (ballan wrasse)
Lineage: Eukaryota; Metazoa; Chordata; Actinopteri; Labriformes; Labridae
Source: RefSeq, a predicted model, not a curated record
ACUCGGAGCCAGCACGAGGAGGAGAGGAAUAGGAGAGGGCGAGAUGUCAUGAAGCGCUGAGGGAGGAGCAGUGAGCCAGAACCCAGCGAGAGGUCAUCCACCCUUACAUAACUGGCCUGGAAACACACCUGGAGAGGAGGUUUCAUGAUCUGGACAUUCUUGGGGCCUUCAGUAUCUUGGGACCCGCACCGCAAUCAACCACUCUACAAGAUGAUACAAUCAACAUCUCUCAUCUGCGGACUCUUGCCAGGAAAUGUUGCCCUGAACAUGAGAAUGAGGUCCUGCAGGAGUGGUCCUCGUUCAAAAAUCAUGUCCUUCCUGGGGCAUUCACGAACAAUAACCAGGAGAUCAUGAGUCUGCUGGCAAGCGAGUUUGAUGAGUGGACCAACCUCUACCCCUGUCUGAGCCUCCUUGCAGGCAUUGCACUUGUUUUACCCGUUUCCUGUGUCAAUUACAACGUGAUUUCUCAACGGUGAACAGGGUAAGAGCAUGACCUUGAACAGGACAACAAAUAAUCAUGCAUUUUCUUCAUAUUAGUGCAGUUUGUGGUAUUUUCUUUGCUUUAUCCUCAGGUGAAAACAGACCUGAAACCAGCUUCAAGGUGAACACCUGGCUGCCUGCCUGAGGAUCUCCAUAAACGGACCCCAUCCUGAGGCCUUCUCAUGUAAUAGGGCAUUGGAAU